Non-coding RNA from Picea glauca (white spruce), 117 nucleotides. NCBI's taxonomy places the organism in Eukaryota, Viridiplantae, Streptophyta, Pinopsida, Pinales, Pinaceae. The record is from Rfam.
UGCCUAGAGAAUAUCAUUAAUGCAUCGGAUCUCAUUAGAACUCCACAGUUAAGCACACUCAGGCUAGAGUAGUAAUAGGAUGGGUGAUCGCCCAAGAAUUCCUAGUGCCUAUGGAAU